This 454-nucleotide ribosomal RNA is filed under the name uncultured bacterium. RNAcentral's name for it is "partial 16S ribosomal RNA". It matches the Rfam family "Bacterial small subunit ribosomal RNA", at positions 28 to 507 of the family's 1533-position model. The record is from RNAcentral.
GAUGAACGCUGACAGAAUGCUUAACACAUGCAAGUCAACUUGAACUUCGGUUUGGGUGGCGGACGGGUGAGUAACGCGUAAAGAACUUGCCUCACAGAUAGGGACAACAUUUGGAAACGAAUGCUAAUACCUGAUAUUAUGAUUAUAUGGCAUCGUAUAAUUAUGAAAGCUAUAUGCGCUGUGAGAGAGCUUUGCGUCCCAUUAGCUAGUUGGAGAGGUAACGGCUCACCAAGGCGAUGAUGGGUAGCCGGCCUGAGAGGGUGAUCGGCCACAAGGGGACUGAGACACGGCCCUUACUCCUACGGGAGGCAGCAGUGGGGAAUAUUGGACAAUGGACCAAGAGUCUGAUCCAGCAAUUCUGUGUGCACGGUGAAGUUUUUCGGAAUGUAAAGUGCUUUCAGUUGGGAAGAAAAAAAUGACGGUACCAACAGAGGAAGUGACGGCUAAAUACGUG